GAUGAACGCUGGCGGCGUGCUUAACACAUGCAAGUCGAACGGGAUCCAAGGGGUGCUUGCACUUUUUGGUGAGAGUGGCGCACGGGUGAGUAACACGUGAGUAACCUGUCCUUUUCUUUGGGAUAAGCAUUCGAAAGGGUGUUUAAUACCUUAUGUUCUGUCUGCCUCGCAUGGGGUGGGUGGGAAAGGCUUUGGCCGGAUUUGGGUGGGCUCGCGGUCUAUCAGCUUGUUGGUGGGGUGAUGGCUUACCAAGGCUUUGACGGGUAGCCGGCCUGAGAGGGUGGUCGGUCACAUUGGGACUGAGAUACGGCCCAGACUCCUGCGGGAGGCAGCAGUGGGGGAAAUUGCACAAUGGGCGAAAGCCUGAUGCAGCGACGCCGCGUGGGGGAUGAAGGCCUUCGGGUUGUAAACUUCUUUUGCUCUGAACAAGGCAUGCCAGUGGGUGUGUUGAGUGUAGGGGUUGAUUAGCGCCGGCUAACUACGUG
Molecule: ribosomal RNA, 485 nt
Filed under: uncultured bacterium
Lineage: Bacteria
Description: partial 16S ribosomal RNA
Rfam family: Bacterial small subunit ribosomal RNA
Source: RNAcentral